CGCAGCCAGUAAUGCAUUACAACGCACGAAAAGAUAUCGGUUAUAAUUCAAUAUAAUUCAAGUUCAAAAUUCAAGAUUGGUAUUUGUUGGUAAUACAACCAGUACAGACGUACGUCAUGUUCGUGUUACUUGUAAUACAACCUUUAAAUUUAAACAGUUCACUGUGGGAAGAUCAUUAAUGUACAUUGUUUUCAAACCAAAUUUGGUAACAUCAUUUAAGAUGUUUGUCACAUGGAGAAACAUGUUUAUUCAACAAUAGGGUGUAUGAACAAUAGAAACGUGUGAAUUGAACAGCCAGCAUGGGUUUUCCCUGACAAAACUCUUUUGAAAAAUUCUUUCUCGGUUUGAUAGCCAUAUCAGUUGAUGAUCUUAUUUACUCAAAGACGGUAUUAAAUUCUUGGAAUUCCUAUCA
Long non-coding RNA from Xenia sp. Carnegie-2017, 412 nucleotides. RefSeq lists it as uncharacterized. The record is from RefSeq and is a predicted model, not a curated record. The transcript is spliced from 2 exons. NCBI's taxonomy places the organism in Eukaryota, Metazoa, Cnidaria, Anthozoa, Malacalcyonacea, Xeniidae.